Molecule: transfer RNA, 84 nt
Filed under: Candidatus Portiera aleyrodidarum (primary endosymbiont of Bemisia tabaci)
Lineage: Bacteria; Pseudomonadati; Pseudomonadota; Gammaproteobacteria; Johnevansiales (SeqCode); Johnevansiaceae (SeqCode)
Description: tRNA-Ser (CGA) (tRNA-Ser-CGA-2-1)
Rfam family: tRNA
About the family: Transfer RNA (tRNA) molecules are approximately 80 nucleotides in length. Their secondary structure includes four short double-helical elements and three loops (D, anti-codon, and T loops).
Source: RNAcentral
GCCGAUGUGGUGAAAUAGGUAGACACGCUAUUUCGAGAGGAUAGUAACCUACAGGUUAUGCGGGUUCAAAUCCCGCCUUCGGCA